UAAGGAAUAUUGGGCAAUGGACGCAAGUCUGACCCAGCCAUGCCGCGUGGAGGAUGAAGGUCCUCUGGAUUGUAAACUUCUUUUAUUUGGGAAGAAAUCCAAGAAUUCUUUCUUGGUUGACGGUACCAGAUGAAUAAGCACCGGCUAACUCCGUGCCAGCAGCCGCGGUAAUACGGAGGGUGCAAGCGUUAUCCGGAUUCACUGGGUUUAAAGGGUGCGUAGGCGGGUUGGUAAGUCCGUGGUGAAAUCUCCGAGCUUAACUCGGAAACUGCCGUGGAUACUAUCAGUCUUGAAUAUCGUUGAGGUAAGCGGAAUAUGUCAUGUAGCGGUGAAAUGCUUAGAUAUGACAUAGAACACCAAUUGCGAAGGCAGCUUACUGAACGAUCAUUGACGCUGAGGCACGAAAGCGUGGGGAGCAAACAGG
Molecule: ribosomal RNA, 424 nt
Filed under: uncultured bacterium
Lineage: Bacteria
Description: bacterial SSU rRNA
Rfam family: Bacterial small subunit ribosomal RNA
Source: RNAcentral